UACGUAGGGGGCAAGCGUUGUCCGGAUUUAUUGGGCGUAAAGAGCGUGUAGGCGGCCUGACAAGUCUGCUGUGAAAACUCGAGGCUCAACCUCGAGAUGUCGGCGGAAACUGUCUGGCUAGAGUCCGGAAGAGGAGAGUGGAAUUCCUGGUGUAGCGGUGAAAUGCGCAGAUAUCAGGAGGAACACCAAUUGCGAAGGCAGCUCGCUGGGACGUUACUGACGCUGAGACGCGAAAGCGUGGGGAGCAAACAGG
RNAcentral lists this ribosomal RNA (253 nucleotides) under uncultured bacterium. Its description in RNAcentral is "partial 16S ribosomal RNA". It matches the Rfam family "Bacterial small subunit ribosomal RNA", at positions 524 to 776 of the family's 1533-position model. The record is from RNAcentral.